GACGAACGCUGGCGGCGUGCUUAACACAUGCAAGUCGAACGAUGAGGCCUAGCUUGCUAGGUGGAUUAGUGGCGAACGGGUGAGUAAUACGUGAGUAACCUACCUUUAACUCUGGGAUAAGCCCGGGAAACUGGGUCUAAUACCGGAUACGACCAAUCUCCGCAUGGGGUGUUGGUGGAAAGCGUUAUGUAGUGGUUAUAGAUGGGCUCACGGCCUAUCAGCUUGUUGGUGAGGUAACGGCUCACCAAGGCGACGACGGGUAGCCGGCCUGAGAGGGUGACCGGCCACACUGGGACUGAGACACGGCCCAGACUCCUACGGGAGGCAGCAGUGGGGAAUAUUGCACAAUGGGCGCAAGCCUGAUGCAGCGACGCCGCGUGAGGGAUGACGGCCUUCGGGUUGUAAACCUCUGUUAGCAGGGAAGAAGAGAGAUUGACGGUACCUGCAGAGAAAGCGCCGGCUAACUACGUG
RNAcentral lists this ribosomal RNA (471 nucleotides) under uncultured bacterium. RNAcentral's name for it is "partial 16S ribosomal RNA". It matches the Rfam family "Bacterial small subunit ribosomal RNA", at positions 28 to 507 of the family's 1533-position model. The record is from RNAcentral.